This 506-nucleotide ribosomal RNA is filed under the name uncultured bacterium. RNAcentral describes it as "partial 16S ribosomal RNA". It matches the Rfam family "Bacterial small subunit ribosomal RNA", at positions 29 to 523 of the family's 1533-position model. The record is from RNAcentral.
AGUGAACGCUGGCGGCAGGCCUAACACAUGCAAGUCGAACGGUAACAGGAAACAGCUUGCUGUUUCGCUGACGAGUGGCGGACGGGUGAGUAAUGUCUGGGAAACUGCCUGAUGGAGGGGGAUAACUACUGGAAACGGUAGCUAAUACCGCAUAACGUCGCAAGACCAAAGAGGGGGACCUUCGGGCCUCUUGCCAUCGGAUGUGCCCAGAUGGGAUUAGCUAGUAGGUGGGGUAACGGCCCACCUAGGCGACGAUCCCUAGCUGGUCUGAGGGGAUGACCCGCCACACUGGAACUGAGACACGGUCCAGACUCCUACGGGGGGCAGCAGUGGGGUAUAUUGCACAAUGGGCGCAAGCCUGAUGCAGCCAUGCCGCGUGUAUGAGGAAGGCCUUCGGGUUGUAAAGUACUUUCAGCGGGGAGGAAGGGAGUAAAGUUAAUACCUUUGCUCAUUGACGUUACCCGCAGAAGAAGCACCGGCUAACUCCGUGCCAGCAGCCGCAGUAA